This 1130-nucleotide long non-coding RNA is filed under the name Manacus vitellinus (golden-collared manakin). RNAcentral's name for it is "lncRNA (ENSMVIG00005013838.1)". The stretch from base 317 to 394 matches the Rfam family "mir-9/mir-79 microRNA precursor family". The record is from RNAcentral. Lineage: Eukaryota; Metazoa; Chordata; Aves; Passeriformes; Pipridae.
GCCCUGCCCUGCCUUGCUUUGCCUUACCCUGCCUGGCUCCGCUUGGCUCGGCUCCGCUCAGCGCAGCCCGACCUGUCUCGGUACGGCGCGGUUCGGCUCUGAGCCCCCGUGGCUCUGCCCCGCUUCUCGUUCUCUCCGCUUCGUAUUUAUCUUUCUCUCUCUCUCUUUCUCUCUCUCUUUUUUUUUUUUUUUUUUUUUAUUUUAAUGUGUGUGUGGUUCCCGGUGGCAGCUCCCGGCCGCCCUGCCCCGGCCGUGCCCGCAUCCUGGAGCGGACGGACGGACGGACGGACAGAUGGCCGGCAUCCCCGACGGAGGGAUGUUUCUGUCUUUGGUUAUCUAGCUGUAUGAGUGUUGUGGAGCCAUCAUAAAGCUAGAUAACCGAAAGUAGAAAUGACUUCCAGACCUGCUCGCCCGGGGGAAGCGGCCGCACCAGGACCGGCGGUGCAGAGACGGCCCGACUCGCCGCCUUGGGGCUCCAGAUCCCAGCAAGUGGAGAAGGGAUUUUUCAAGCCCGUGAGUUCCUUUGAGCUGUUGGCUACCGCCUGCCCAGACUUGCCACCUGACUUCUCCGAGUUUCUCCAGGAGGGUCCCAACUGCUUCUGCAUUGGCCCCAGAGAGGAGGCAGCUUUGAUUCAUGAGCACAGCGGGUUUCUGCAUCACUUCGAAUCACGCCGGUCCACCCAUGGGGAGGGAGCCAGGGCAACACAAGGGAUCAUCCCACAUCACUCCUGUAUGUUGCCUUCAGUGCCCUCAAUACCCCUGAGCAGGACCAAAGCACUUAGACAGAGAGACCCAAGCCAGUCACUGUAACAACUGGUGAAAUACCAGGUGUGCGAAGGUUGGAAGGAGCUUUUUGCUCCCGGCUUUGCUCAUGGAGCAGAGCUUGGCCCUUGCUGCUCUUGAUCCCUGGGUCUGUGGAGCUGUGGGAGCACGGCCUUCCCAAAGGUGCUGUGCUUGUGGCCCAGAGGACCGUGAGCCUGUCCAGGCCAGACAGCCCGGCUGCUGUUGUGCUGCACCCUCUCUGUUCCUGUAAGAGAAACGUACUGCCUGUAAUUAUCUCCCAUUCAAAUCCCGCCCCCCCAUGCACUGUUGAAAAUAAACUCUCCCUUUUGCAAAAAGUGAGCCGUGUG